Molecule: long non-coding RNA, 1180 nt
Organism: Carassius gibelio (silver crucian carp)
Lineage: Eukaryota; Metazoa; Chordata; Actinopteri; Cypriniformes; Cyprinidae
Exons: 2
Source: RefSeq, a predicted model, not a curated record
GCAUCUUGGUUGUUGCAUGUCUAUUGAAGUUGUAGCAGCAGUGCUUUGAAUACAAUUUGUGUCACAUCAGGGUUUGGUUUUCCGGAAAGGUCUCCGGCAAUACAAGGAUUUUGAAACCCACAAGGGAAUCCAUUUCCUUCUAGAAAUAUUCUGCAUUUGAAAUGCUUCCUGUUACCAUCUGAUCUACUACACCAUGUUGCUGUGGAGUUAAGAGCAGCUUUCAGAAGGAAAGAUGGAUUGUGACCCUCUCCAGGGGUGUGUUGGGCGAGAUUACCCUCAUUAUCGCCCAUCUAUGUGCCUUCCAGACCUCCACCGCCCACCCGAGCCCACUAAUGGAGGCCGAACAGCAACCUCAAACAGCCUCAGCUUGAGGUCUUACUAAACUCAACCAAAACUAAUCGGUUGUAUCAUCCCUGGCUCUCCAUCAUAUUGGUGAAUUUAGAGAUUGAGACCUAGUUUUAUGGUCUACAUCUUUCUGCCUCGGUGUUAGAAAGUACAUUUUCAGUUUUAUUAUGUUGUUGAGUGAAUAACAUGGCAAAUCUUUCAAAGAUAUGAUGAUUGGAUUGAUAUGUUCACAUUUUCCAGCUUUAUUCCAGGUUUUCCAUAUAGUUUUUUUUUUGGGGGGGACAAUAGACAAACACAUUGUACAUCAGAUUUCCUUUGCCCUACAAACACAUAGAGAAUAAGUGUAAUUUUAUUCAUGGUACCUCGUCUUUCUCUUGUAUUGAAAUGUGUAUUUGCCGGCUAUCCACUCUGAGGCGCAAGCAAAUAUGCACUUGUCAGCUCCAAAGUGCAUUUUUUGGUUUCCUCAUCUAUAUGAUACCCAGACGAUAGUGUAAGCUUCUCAUUGUUGAAUGUGUGUUUUUCCAAAUCUCUCCCCAGACUAAUAACCUGAUGCUGUAUUUCCAGUUUUAUGAGUCCUGGUAGGAGUGAACAGCGGAUUUAGUACCGUAAAGAAUGUGUAAUGUUUGAUUUGUAGGUGUAAUGAGCAAGAAGUGGGGCUCUGCGAGCAAAAACACCCUCUGCGUGCUUUUGAUUGAUUAGUGAGGGUCGUAACCAGCCAAAUGUGUUCACGCCUGCCCUAAUGCUGUGGAUUGUGGACCGGGAUAUUAGCCUGUAUGCAUUACAGUGACAUAUUCACCUCAGCCAGAUCAAUAAAUCUUACUGUGUGAGGAAAGAA